GCCAUGGCUGCUCGCAAGAGAGCUUCUACAAACCCAUCAGUAAAAGAACCUUCUCCCAAAGAAAUUGACAAAACCCACCAAAGCAAAUCCCCAUUAACGGAUGAUCCGCCCAUUGCGCCACCGAAAUCAGGUUUUAUCUUCAAGCUCAUUCUCUUUUUCUCUGUUCCAUACCUUUACCUCAUCUUCUACCACUACAAGAUCGACCUAGAGCUCAGAAGAUCAAUCAUUAUCAAU
Molecule: unclassified non-coding RNA, 234 nt
Filed under: Hevea brasiliensis (rubber tree)
Lineage: Eukaryota; Viridiplantae; Streptophyta; Magnoliopsida; Malpighiales; Euphorbiaceae
Source: RNAcentral